UACGUAGGGGGCCAGCGUUGUCCGGAUUCAUUGGGCGUAAAGCGCGUGUAGGCGGCCAGGUAGGUCCGAUGUGAAAUCUGGAGGCUCAACCUCCAGCGGUCAUUGGAAACCAUCUGGCUAGAGUCCGGAAGAGGAGAGUGGAAUUCCUGGUGUAGCGGUGAAAUUCGUAGAUAUUGGGAAGAACACCGGUGGCGAAGGCGGCUCACUGGCUCGUAACUGACGCUCAUGCACGACAGCGUGGGGAUCAAACAGG
RNAcentral lists this ribosomal RNA (253 nucleotides) under uncultured bacterium. Its description in RNAcentral is "partial 16S ribosomal RNA". It matches the Rfam family "Bacterial small subunit ribosomal RNA", at positions 524 to 776 of the family's 1533-position model. The record is from RNAcentral.